Non-coding RNA from Strongyloides papillosus, 47 nucleotides. Lineage: Eukaryota; Metazoa; Nematoda; Chromadorea; Rhabditida; Strongyloididae. The record is from Rfam.
CCAAAGGCCCUCUUUAGGGCCACCUAUUAUAUUCUUAAGGUUGUUUU